Molecule: non-coding RNA, 21 nt
Filed under: Caenorhabditis elegans
Lineage: Eukaryota; Metazoa; Nematoda; Chromadorea; Rhabditida; Rhabditidae
Source: RNAcentral
UUUUUAGCUCGAUUUUCACUU